UAAUGACCUGUAGUCGCCACAUGGACGC
Molecule: small RNA, 28 nt
Filed under: Bombyx mori (domestic silkworm)
Lineage: Eukaryota; Metazoa; Arthropoda; Insecta; Lepidoptera; Bombycidae
Description: piRNA piR-bmo-2147373
Source: RNAcentral